RNAcentral lists this long non-coding RNA (1028 nucleotides) under Nicotiana benthamiana. RNAcentral's name for it is "long non-coding RNA (NBEN_LNC008862)". The record is from RNAcentral. Lineage: Eukaryota; Viridiplantae; Streptophyta; Magnoliopsida; Solanales; Solanaceae.
CAUUAAUAUUGCUGUCUAGAGGUAGCAAGAAGAAUAAAUACGGCAAUGCUUUUUUGGUUAUUAUAAUAAAUACAGCAAUCUAAAAGCACUCCUCAAUUUACCAGUAUCGUUGAUUCCACUGAAAAUGAAAUUUUUGCUAGUACAAGAUCCGUAAUCUGGAAAUUCAGAAAAGCUAAUGAAUAUAAGAAAAUGGAGACAUAGAAAAAACAAACUUAAGAGAGAAAACGAAAGCCAAUUCAGUUUGUAGGAAGCUUGAAAUAAAAGUAGCUUUUGAGAUCCUAGUGCUCUUUGAAAUUCUUCUUUCUCAUGUUUCUUUUAGACUGCAUCUUCAUUUUCAAGAUCCAAUGAGUUUGUGUGCUAUGAAAUGAAUCUAUGUAUAUCUAACGAGCAUCCACAUCUUGCUAUCAUAUUUCUCAAGUUAGUAUUCUUUGUGUUUCUAAGGUAUUGAAGAUAAAAAGUUUAAAAUGCCUAAAUUUGAGAGCCACCUAGAGGAACCUCAUUAGCUCGGCAAACUGAAGAAUUAAGGCAUCCUCAUUGUUAAUAUGAUCUCAAAUAUAACUAUUUUAUUCAUCCUUUCGUUACUAUAGCCAUCCAACUCAUCCCCUUGCUUGUCUUUAUAUGUAAGGAUAUAACUGGCCAUUACUGAAGCUUUUAUUUUGCUUGUCUCCAAAUAUAUUUAAAAAUGUGGAGUGAGACCGAAACCAUGUAUGACAUGAACAUAAUUGGAUCAUUUUCUGUGACAGUUGGAUUUAUGUUAACGACAAAUGAGUCCGUGGAUACUUUUUCAAUCUUAAAGAUUAAUUUGGUACAUAGCUUUUUACUGUAGGAUCUUUCAAAUGUUGUUUGAGACAUAUCUAGAACCUCCUCCAUAUUGUUAUUUGAUAUUUUGGAAGAUGCCAUAUUUUAGGCUUGCUAAGGCAGACAUCCACUCCAAAUGGUCUUUUUGAUAUUUUGGAGGAUGACAUAUGUUAGGCUUGCUAAGGCAGACAUCCACUUCAAACGGUCUUGUUCACGAGACACAACUUUUU